RNAcentral lists this small RNA (87 nucleotides) under Pseudomonas sp. BAY1663. RNAcentral describes it as "isrK Hfq binding RNA". It matches the Rfam family "isrK Hfq binding RNA". The record is from Rfam by way of RNAcentral. Lineage: Bacteria; Pseudomonadati; Pseudomonadota; Gammaproteobacteria; Pseudomonadales; Pseudomonadaceae.
GUUGCUGCAAAUUCAGCGACCGGGUUUGGCGACCCGAACUAUCCAAGGCGCACAAGCGCCGCACCGCAGACAGCUGGCGCUUUUUUU